UACGGGGGGGGCAAGCGUUGUUCGGAAUUACUGGGCGUAAAGGGCUCGUAGGCGGCCAACUAAGUCGGACGUGAAAUCCCCAGGCUCAACCUGGGAACUGCGUCCGAUACUGGUUGGCUUGAAUCCGGGAGAGGGAUGCGGAAUUCCAGGUGUAGCGGUGAAAUGCGUAGAUAUCUGGAGGAACACCGGUGGCGAAGGCGGAUCUCUGGGCCGAUACUGACGCUGAGGAGCGAAAGCGUGGGGAGCGAACAGG
This 253-nucleotide ribosomal RNA is filed under the name uncultured bacterium. RNAcentral describes it as "partial 16S ribosomal RNA". It matches the Rfam family "Bacterial small subunit ribosomal RNA", at positions 524 to 776 of the family's 1533-position model. The record is from RNAcentral.